UACGGGGGGGGUAAGCGUUGUUCGGAAUUACUGGGCGUAAAGGGCGCGUAGGCGGCAAUUCAAGUCAUCUGUGAGAUCUCCGGGCUUAACUCGGAAUGGUCAGGUGAUACUGCUUUGCUAGAGUGCAGAAGGGGCAAUCGGAAUUCUUGGUGUAGCGGUGAAAUGCGUAGAUAUCAAGAGGAACACCUGAGGUGAAGACGGGUUGCUGGGCUGACACUGACGCUGAGGCACGAAGGCCAGGGGAGCAAACGGG
Molecule: ribosomal RNA, 253 nt
Filed under: uncultured bacterium
Lineage: Bacteria
Description: partial 16S ribosomal RNA
Rfam family: Bacterial small subunit ribosomal RNA
Source: RNAcentral